Molecule: non-coding RNA, 2136 nt
Organism: Lupinus albus (white lupine)
Lineage: Eukaryota; Viridiplantae; Streptophyta; Magnoliopsida; Fabales; Fabaceae
Source: the annotation of a GenBank genome assembly
GCCUGAGCUUCCCCCGGGAGCGACUGGCGUCUAGCUCCAUUUUGGGUUCGUUUGCUGACUCGCCUUCCACUUUGACUUCCACCGGACCAAAAGAGAGAUCGCCCAAUGGCGUAGAUCAAGAAGUUUCCGCUUCCUCGUUUGAGCUGCUCCAAACCUUUUCAAUCCAAACAACUUUGAUUUGAAGUCGGCUUGACUUGCUUCUUUCUCUUGUUCUAACGCUACUGUGCCUUCCGUCCCUGAUUCGGAAUCGGAAGAAGAAAGUUUUUUUCUCCUUAAUCGAUCGGAGUUCCCGCGCUUCAAGUUUCUUUCAUACGGACAUACAUCAAGCUCUUCUUUGGGAAGACCAUCGGGGAUGACUAGCCUUCAUUGCCUAGCAGCUCAUCUCCAGCUCUCUCUUUCUCCUCCCUAACACCCUACUCUCUCUCCUUGUGCUUUGAUGCGGAUCUCAGGUAGAAAUAAGAGAAGCUGAGAGAUUCACCUGCAGGGACGCGCUCCGGUCUAAGGCCUUUUUGUUGCUGACGUACGAUCCCCGUCCACCUUCAAAGGGGAGCUAUGUAGACAGAUUUUUUUUUUCUUUACUUUCGUGUUUGGAGUAGGUGAUAAUGAGGAACAGCAAGGAGAUGGCUUUUUAGCCAAAACAGUGUGGUGUGGGUAGCCUGCCCCAAUCAAGCGUAGCGAUCACUGAACGAUUGAUUCCUAUUCUUAUUAUACAAUAUUCUUGGAUGAGAUAGAUGGUGGGAACAAUGAAGCGGAUUCUUCAUCUGUAGCUUGCAAUCUGUAUUCUUUCUUUUCUCGAUCUACUGCUUGCUUUCGCUUAUCCGACGCACUCACAUCCAACUACUUAAACUGGGACGGGACCAAUCAUGUUGAUUGCCUAUCCUACCCAGCUCUAACAACUGGUUUGGUUGUUGAAUCACAAAUCACAAACUUUAUCCUCUCAAUCGGAGAGGCCUCUAGUCCCCAGUUCUAUUAAAAAUUCCUUAUUUAUUAUCUUACCAAGGUAGUUUACUUGCUUACUUGUUAGAGUAAGGAAAGCAGACAGUCUAUUGCGGAUCUUCACUUAAAUCAUAGGAAGCAGAGAGGACUGGAUCUGGAUACCAUAAGGCACAUGCAACAACAUGAAAAGCGUCGGAAAAGAGGAUGUGACCAUGAAUCGGAAUCGGAAGAGGUUGGGCUGGUUUUGAGCUGCCCUUAGACCGAUUCUCUCUUUCGGUUCGGUAGCAGACACCAACCAAGAUAGGCUAGGCUGGGAAACCUUAUUCGUAUUCGAUACGAUAGGACAGGUAAACAAAGCAAGGCCUGGAGUGAAAGAGUCUGGGUCAAGAGAUUUUCCCCUGGAAGCCUGCCUAGAAGGAUAAGAGAAGAGGCAGGAAGACGGGCUUAGCUCUUUUCAGGUUGAGAAGGUUGAAUUGAAAACUUUCACCUGGUCUAAUCCGGAGGAGAGAUGUCUUGGUUGAAUGCUUUCUGUAGAGAUAAUAUUUUAGGUAUGAAGUGUCUGGUUUGAUAAAAGAACCAGGAGUGGGCACGGAAAAGAAAAUCUGCAGAGGACGACCUGGCCUGGUCGACCCAAUUCGAGUAGCAGAAGGCUUUAUUUUAGAUUAUGGAGAUAAUUCGUCAACCACAAAAUCAAACUUAUAAGGAAAGCCCAUCGAAGAGAUAGAACUACCUUGGCCUAUUCCCAACCAUAUCUUGGCUAUGGAUCUUAAGGUAUUUCCUUAAAAAACUAAUUGCCGAUCCGAGGAAGGGAAGACAUGGAAGAUAGAACAAAAUGGGUCUCAAUACGGCUCCUCUCACUCUGGUCGAGCUGCUACGCUCCUCAUUGACUGGAAAUGAUUGAGAUUUUAUCGCUUACUAGAGAUCCUGAGAAGCUCAGAAUGCAACCAAGCCCUAGUGCCCCCUCUCUUUCAAUAUCGGUGGAUCCUAGGGAUCCGUUUGAUUGAUAGAAGGAUCAGGGAGAACCCCUAUCCGACCAAUGGAUCUUCCAACUAGAAUUCUCAAGGACUUGACCUCUAUUAAAGCAGUUGCUAAAUUGAUAUAGCGAUCCCUUGAAUCCAAUGCAUCCAUGGAACCAAUCGCAGAUUAUGGAGCAAAAGUAAUCAUAGAGAAGCUAAGCUUUCAGGCAAGGGAGGUAUAGGC